CAGGAGCUCUAGUGGCAAGGAGCAAACUCAUUUCAUUUUUGCGUGAUGGUUCCUGGAGGGUUCCCUGGAAUUUUUCCACGUUGCUCUCUCCAGGGGGGGACAAUACCGAGUCCUAGCCAUUGCAGUGUUGAACCCUCCAGAUGCUUGGCCUUCUGCUGGCCAAUCAGAUUUAUAGUCCAAAGUGUUACAGAUCUGGGAAAGAUGGCUUAAUGCACGGUGGGACAAAAUGCAAGAGAUCUCCAGCUAGAAUCUACAAUUUUGAAAAAUGUUAAAGGAAGCAAGGAGUCCAGGGACUGAACCUAGGAGCUUUCUGCCUGCAAGGCUGUGUCCUACUGCUGACUCUUCUGUGAGUUUUUCCCAUGUAGUUCGUAUGCACUUCAAGAGCAACUCCUUUGCAAGCAACUCAGAAAAGCUGCUGACAACCCCAGCAUUAUCUUCAUCAGGCAACCAGCAAGUUUCUGGCCUCUCUCUGACCUUGCAGCCAAUGGAAACAUACCCUGAAGGAUGCCAAUAUUUGCAUGAAACGGCCUGAAGCUGGGAGGAUGGGAACGUGACCCUCAUGAAUCUUCCAUCGUGCAGUGGCUACUCUGGUGUUAAUUGUUUUAACAGCUCCGGAAUAGCUUCUUUCUUGCUGCUCUCUACUGUAUUUGUACCGGGCAGCACCGCAGCCUUAUCUCAUAAUUUUCUUUUUCCUCCACAGGAAAAGCUGCAAUGACUCCAUAAUAAUUCAGCUAGUGUUUUUUUACGACGAAAGAUGUGCUGAACACGAUGCUCCUAAUACUAAUGUUAAUAAUGGUGAGAUCUAUAAUUGGAACCCAGUGCCCCUGAGAGAAAAUGACAGCAGCAGAUCUUGGUGAAAUGCAAAGAGAUUCAAGAAUUAUUUGGAAGAAAUCGGAGUAGAUAAAAUAAUCCCACAAUUCCAGGAUCAACACUCCUUGGAACUAGACACAUUCUUCCAAGAUACUGUAUUGUUUCUUAACUCUUGGUUAGGAUUCAAAUUAAAAUUGAUCAAAAACUCCAGUCAUUUUUUCUGGCUUUUAAAUCUUUGGUUAGGAUUCACAUUAAAAUUGAU
RNAcentral lists this long non-coding RNA (1072 nucleotides) under Salvator merianae (Argentine black and white tegu). RNAcentral describes it as "lncRNA (ENSSMRG00000021911.1)". The record is from RNAcentral. Lineage: Eukaryota; Metazoa; Chordata; Lepidosauria; Squamata; Teiidae.